Molecule: long non-coding RNA, 472 nt
Filed under: Fragaria vesca (wild strawberry)
Lineage: Eukaryota; Viridiplantae; Streptophyta; Magnoliopsida; Rosales; Rosaceae
Description: long non-coding RNA (FVES_LNC001235)
Source: RNAcentral
AUAGCCGACGAAUAUAGUAUUUAAAUAUCGUCGGCUAAAGUUGCUGGUUUUUGAAAAAAAAACUGCAGAAACUUUCGGCCACCUCCAAUCACCACCAAAAUUUGACAGAAUUUUCCUCUCAACAUUUCGAACAACUUUCUAGAAGAAGUCGAAGCCCAAUUCUAAGCCUAAAUAGGUCAAUUGAAUCAAAAUAUAAAAAUCCCCAAUUUUAAACCCUAAAAACUUCAAAUCUUCGAUUCUCCUCACACACACCGAAUCGAGCUACCAAAUUCUAGGAGAAUGUAGUACUAAUCAAACUCAACUUAUCCAUAUAUAGAACUCACCAAAUGGUGACCUGAGGAAGGAGAAAUUCGAUCAACACCGAAUCCGAACCGGCGGAGUUUUGGAGCUCGAUUUAUCCCUCACGGCGGCGCCACUCGAUGCACCACCUGUCCAGCAAUGAAGUAGAGACGACGGUGAAGUUUUUGGGACA